GUGCUCGCUUCAGCAGCACAUAUACUAAAAUUGGAAUGAUACAGAGAAGAUUAGCAUGGCCCCUGUGCAAGGAUGACAUGCAAAUUCGUGAAGUGUUCCAUUAAAAA
Small nuclear RNA from Nomascus leucogenys (northern white-cheeked gibbon), 107 nucleotides. Lineage: Eukaryota; Metazoa; Chordata; Mammalia; Primates; Hylobatidae. The record is from Ensembl.